CAUGCUCCCAUGUGGGACAAAAUCUUCUUCUGCAGGGCAUAAAGGGAGAAUCUCCUGGUUUUCCUCAUCAGAAACAUGCAAAGGUGAAAAAGGGUCAUGAAAAUGAUGUCUGCGGAUCUUCCAAUUCUCUGCUGGGCAUUUGAACUUAAAAUGCCAGCAAUGCUUCUCUCCCUUGCUCUCAAGAGGAAAGCUAUAUCUGGAGUAGGGCAACAUGCCUUAAUUUGAGAAAUUUAAUGCCUUCGAAGCGCUACCAAAGCACAAUUAGCAAAUAAAAAAACCCCAGAAGUCAAGGCAGGAGACCUGAGUAUGCAGUUCAAACAUCAAAGGAGUAUUACCUGUGCUUUCAUCUCCCUUUCCUCUUGUGAGUCAAAGAUACAACAUAUCACUGCAUAUUUUAAGCAUUUUCUGUUCUGAAAGCUUAAAUGUCAGUGUAAUUACCCCAAUGGUAAUUUCUGUUUGUUGUUCCAGGCUGGUACUUCAGCAGAAUCUCCCAAUUUUCACAUGAUUAUCUCCAUCUCUGCCUUUGAUAGGUUUGUGUCCAAUUCACUCUGGAUUUGAACUGCUUCACAUUCCUUGAAAAUCUGCUUUGAAUGCUGCCAAAGGAGUUGAGGAUUAUUGACAAAUCUGCUUGAAAAAGACACACGAAGAGCAUCCUUUAUGGUCCAUCUUGUGGUAAAACACGGGCAUUUCUUUGCUCAUUUGAAUGUCAGUGGAUUAUUUAUGCUGGUGCAAUGUUUUCAAGAGAUAAAAUACUCCCCACUGUGCUACAUGCAAAUCUCUGCAAUGUAAACAUAAAUAGUUGUUGCACAUGCAUAAUCAAAGACAUUUUUUAUAAUUAUUGUUGGAUAGUUCAGUCCUCUAAUAGCAUCAUCUGGUGUAAAUCAGUGUAGCUCUACUGAAGCCUGCAAAGCCCCUACCGAUUUGUACCAGAUGGGGCUCAAACUCUUCACUCUAAGUUUAGUCCUUCUAAAAAGAAAAAAAAUGGAGAGAAAGCCCUGGUAGUCCUUGAAAAUGAAGUUCUUUGCUCAUUCAUGAGAAGCUGGUAAAGCAAGAAUGGCAGGGGCUUUUCUUGAUCCAUACUCAGCCCUUAUGUAGGGAGAACAUUUCUGCCACGGAGGAAAGGAGGAGGUUCUGUGCCAAGUGAGCUCCUGCCCCUCUGCUCAGACUCCUGCAAAGAUUUGCCAGAUAAUGGCAUUUAUAACGUGAACUCCUUUCUGCCAAGAUUUGGACCAAGACCACCAGCUCUUUAGCAUGGGCCAGCAGACACUGCCAGAUGCUAAAGAUUUUCAGUUGUUCAGAUCCUCUGCUGCAUUUUGAGACACCCGAAGGUGAAGGGCUGGAAAUCUGGUUUUCUGUCCCCAGAGCGAUCUUGUUUCACUGUCAUUCAGCAUUGUCUUUUCUCCAGCAUUGUACACAGCACAAAGAACUUUCUAAAGCUACUUUGACACCUGGUUUGACUCCAGCUGAAGACAGCAACCUCAAUUUCAUCUUUCUUGUGUUCUGUAGAAAACUGCUCUGAGUUAAUAUAAAAGACAAUAUUCAGCAGCAUCUAUUUUCACAAAUUAAUUCAGACUACGUCAUUCAAAUAGGUGCUAGUGGAAGCUGCCUGUGCAGAUUUCAAUGCUAUAAAUAUACAGUUAUUUCCAAAUCAACAACAGUGUCUUAACUGCUGUACACAGUAUUUUAUCAACAGACACAAAGUUAACUUUGCUUGCAUAAAAAGGGGUGGAAAAUUAGGAGUUUGCUUCCCCUCUUUUGAAUGCCGACAGCAAAAAUAUCCACUAAAUACCAAAAAUUACCUAUUAAUAAUAGAUUGGAGGAGAGAGUUUUGACAGAAGUGAAGAGUACACAUAUACAGCAUAGAUUUACCCACCUUGCAAACAACUUAAAGUCUGUGCUCAGCUCUUUCAGGUUUACCUGUCAGAUUUUUUGCCCAUUGUGUUUUCCAUUUGCCGACAAGAUCCUCCAAAAGAGUUGCUGUUAUUCUUGUAUAGGCUUGACGUGGACAUAAACUUUUUUGCAAGAAGCCUGAGCCACUGUUAGCAGCUCUUGAAGAGCUCCAAGUCCGACGUGGGUUUAAUUUGUGGUGAGUGCCAUGGCAGAAAUGUCUAACAAUAUAAGUCUGUUGGACAUGUCGUCUGGGCUGUCACGUUCAAUUUGCACAUGACCUCCUGGCCAAAAAAUGGGAAAGAAGUGGUAGAAUGUGGGACUGAAAGCUUAUAUUAUUGCUUUGACAGCUUCACUCAUCUAGAAGUAAUGCAAAAUGCAAUUUAUAUUUAUACUCUCUGACCUUCUGUACAGAGAGUGAAACUAUCUAAUGAUGGGCCAUGGUAGCAGAGAAAGAAACAGAUCUCAAUGCAGCUGGAAUUUGUCUACAUUUUUUUUUUUUUUUUUUUUUUUUUUUUUUUGCUUUUCAACCAUUCAAUUACAGUCAGAAGAUAAAUGAAACAUGAAGAGUGUCUUGGUUAGGUAGUGACACAAUUAUUUCAUAGCGAGUAGGUUCUGGCUCUGAGCCUUGGCAAAGGUUGCCAUGCACACCUUGUUUCACUAGAUGCAGAUAAUCUGCCUGCUCCCACCAGACAAAUCCCCUCUGCUUGGAGGUGUGUCCUUCUGCCCAUCACAGGAGGAGAAAAAAGACACCAGCAACUCGGCAGCACUCUUGCCCUGCAUUUCAAUCUCCUCCAGAAAGGCUGAUGCUCUAAUCCUAUUAACCACCAUAAAUCAAGUCAGGCCCUGCUGUAAACAGGGCGUGAGGCAUUUCUGUGGAAAACAGGCAGAGACGAAGAAUGAGCCACGUUCUUCUCAUCUGAGGAGCAGCACGCGGCUUUGUGUCCUCCCAGGGAAAAGAAAUAAAUGCAGCAGCCUUUGAUUGUGACAGGAACCACCAGGUAACACCUGAAGAUCCUUAACAAAACACCCCAGAGCUGGUGUCAGCUCAGCAUCCUUCAGAGGGGCUCGCUGCAGCCACGGUCACAGCAGCAGAAUUUGGCUCAAAGAUUCAGCCUCCAGCUGCAUCUGUUUCUACCUUCUCAUCCAAAUAAGACACAGGAUUUGAAGGAAAAGUUGUUUCCAGGGAUGAGCAUGAAGAGGAGAUAGCAAACAGAAAAAACAAAGUGUGGGGUUUAUGCAUCUCAGGGUAUUUUGGACAACAACAUCGGUUUGAACUCAUCUCUCACUCCAUUGAUCCAUCCUGCUUUAAACAGGAGUCGAUCCAAAGUCCACUGACCUUACUAGUGAGAGUUUUAUAAAUGGUUGGAGGCUGUGAAACAGUUUUAGAAAUUAGGUGUUCGUAUAAAGCAGUUGCUUGUUUUCUGUCUAAUUGUUUUCUUGUGGUUUGCCAUGUUUUUCUAUUGUACACCAAAUUAAUAAAAAUCACUGGAUGAUGAUUUCAACUGAUGUUUAACUUUCUCCAUGGAAUUAAAAAAAAAAAAUAUGUGUUGACAAUAAUAAAACAUUAAACAGA
Taeniopygia guttata (zebra finch) is the source of this 3463-nucleotide non-coding RNA. The record is from RefSeq and is a predicted model, not a curated record. NCBI's taxonomy places the organism in Eukaryota, Metazoa, Chordata, Aves, Passeriformes, Estrildidae.